This 69-nucleotide transfer RNA is filed under the name Uroteuthis duvaucelii. RNAcentral's name for it is "tRNA-Leu". Lineage: Eukaryota; Metazoa; Mollusca; Cephalopoda; Myopsida; Loliginidae. The record is from RNAcentral.
UACAAAGUAAGAUUAUAUAAAUCUUAUCUAAUAAUCCUAAAUUAUUCACAUUUAUUCUGCCAACUUUGU